Molecule: long non-coding RNA, 5588 nt
Filed under: Gallus gallus (chicken)
Lineage: Eukaryota; Metazoa; Chordata; Aves; Galliformes; Phasianidae
Source: RNAcentral
AUUCUGUCUAUGCAAGUCUUCCUGCAGGUUGGUGUUUAAGCUAUACUUGUGUGAAUCGAGACCGCCAUCCCAUGGUUGCUCUCAGAUUUGUUCUCAGAGAGAUAAAUGGCUGUUACCCCCCGCCCACCUUUCUUUACAGGGUGGUUGUACUGAAACAAAAGACCACGUCCUUCAUAUAUUCAGUGCUGUGUUUUGACAUGCUGUGUAUUGAGUUAAACCUCUUCCCAGCUGCCAAAAACCUUCAACUUCACUUACCUAUGGCACGUAACUUUCAGUGCUCUGAAAAGUUAUCGAAGGGCAGGAGGGCACAGGAAAAGAAUAAAACAAAGAGAUUUUACAGCCAGACUACAGUGAACCUGCAGUAUAGUUAUACUGGUACCAUAAAGGAAUCAUUUUGGAUGCUGCUACUUUUGUUUGCCAAGCUUCUUAUUGGUACCACAAGUCAACGCUUGCUGGAAAACGCCACCCUUGGAAAACAACCUGUAACGUACGACUGCUGUCUCUUCGUGUAUUUUCUGCUCAGAUCUUAACAUGCGCUUCCUCUGAAGGCCACCAGCGAUAAUAUUCACUCCCUCUCCAGAACCACGUGAGUAAAUACCUCCUCACGCAGGUGAGGAUUGGGCUGGGCACAAACAAGAGGAGGAUGCCAAGUAAACACAGGACUGCUGGGCAGCUUUGGUGGAUCCCAGUGCUAUUGUCUGGGUAAUUCAGGGGAAGGUUUCACUAAAAUGGUGUCCUUGUCACGCGAAGCACGGAAAACAGCUUCCCCGCUCCGGCUAGCAGUGGUCCGUGAGUAACUUGCCUGCAUGACGGCCGCCGGCCAGCAGGGGGCGCCUGCUUCGUGCAGCCCCUGGGCUGUUUAAUGCCUGGGGCCUCCGUGCACGAACGAGGUCGUUGCUGCCCGCGAGAGGCUGUGUAGCGAGGCCCCGCCCAGGUGCUAGGGCAGCCUUGCAGGGUGAAUGCCUUCCUUAGCGGUGAAGGCAGCUGGAAGUUUGCUGAUGGACAGUGUGAGCUGACCACUCCUCUUGCGAGGUCACACCCCCUGCAGGAUGCUUAGACCAAGUCAGGACUCAGCAGGGGCUUUCAGUCAUCCCACUGGCUGUAGGUGUUAAGGUUUUGCAUUUGCUUUCAAAGCAACCAGAAGUAAUGGUGUUUUUUGUUUGUUUGUUUGUUUGUUUGUUUGUUUCGUUGCACAUCUCCCCACUUGCUUGGGAGGAUCUGCCCGGAAAAUGGGGAGCUGCAGCCCCCGGGGAAUAGCCAUGCUGUUGAUGGGAGGCUGGGGACAAUGGUGAGACUGUUCCACUGUAGGAAAGGCAGCUGAAGGCUCAGACAAGAGGAGCACGCGGGAACAGGCUUUGUGGCUCAGGCUCUGCAUGAAAGCGCUUAGCACAGGACAGGGAGCACAGUUUCAGUCCCAGGUGUCUACCUGUCUUUGGUUAUUCAAUGCAUAGUGGUUAUUAAAAUGAAGAAAUCAGAAUUCCUGAUCCAGCUUGUUCUUAUUUUUCCCUCUCUCUCUCUCUCUCUCUCUCUCUUUUUUUUUAAUGAAACAGAAGUCUGAUUGUGGUGCCAUCCAUGUAACAGAAUGCUGUUGGUGUGUGCUGGUGUUCUCUGUUCAUGCACGUAAACCUGGGACUCCCAGGGAACUUAAGAAGCAUGAGCCUUGUUUGUGAAUCUCCAGAUGGGGGCAGACAUUGAGAUGCACGGCUAGAAUAUUAGGCUGGGAUUGAUUACCCCAGUUCAGCUGUCAGGGAGCAGAAAGAAUUAAACCAAAGUCUCCUGGAUCCCAGGAAAAUGGCAUUACCGAUACCUCAACAUUUGGAGCAUCACAAUCAUAGAAUCACAGAACAGCCAAAGGACCAUCUAGCACCAUGUCCAAUCACAUCUUGAAAGCCUGCAGCAAUGGGGGAUUCCACCACAUCCUCGGGGAGGUUGUUCCAGUCAUUGACUGUUUUCACUCUGAAAAAUUUCAUUCUGAUAUCAAGGUGAAGCCUCUCCUGGUGCAUCUUGAAUCCAAUGCCCCUUGUCUUCUCUGUGUUGCUCGCUGUGAAGAGACAGCCUCUGUCCUCUUUGUAGCAACCCUUCCAGCGCUGAAUACAGUACUGAGGCCCCUGAGUCAUCUUUUGUCAUGGGUAUAAAGACCUACCUCCUUCAGUCUGUCACCAUACGGCUUCUUCUCCAGCCUUUUGAACAAAUUUCAGGGCCUAAUUUGAAUGACCCCCCCCAAUUUGUCCACAUCUUUUUUUUUCUUUUUUUUUUUUUUUUCUUCCCUUCCCAUAUUGCAGGAUCCAGACCUGGACACAGUGCUCCAUGUGUGAUCUGACAAGCACUGAGUAGUGUGGGAUGAUCACAUCUCUAUCUCUGCUGAUAAAGCUCCCAUAGAUGCAGCCCAGGGUGCAAUUAGCAUCCCGUGAUUGCUGCUGACUGCUGGUCAGCUGUGGUCCCCCAGGAUCCCCAGGUCUCUUCCAGCAAGGCAGCUCACAGCCACACAGAUCCCUGCCUGUGCCGGGCUCUUCAGGUGCACUGUCCCAGGAGCAGGACCUGGCUCCUGUGUUUGUUAAGCAUCACACAGCUCUUGCCUGCCUAUUCCUCCAGCCUGGCCAAUUGGAUACUAAACAAAAUAAAAAGUGGUAAAACAAAAAGUAUUCUUUCAAGACCUGGGUGCUCUGCAUGCCCUACCAAUGCUGGUAGGUACUUAACCUCCCUCAUUUUCCCAACAGCAUCUGGAGGGAGUCUUCAUUGCCUCCCCGUUAGGGGUAAUGGCUAACUAGUAACAGCCUGUGUGCAUGAACAUCACCCACCCAGAUCCCAACCUAGCCAUUCCUACAAGGCCCAGGAAAUGUUCCUCAUUCUCACUCAUUCUUACAGGAAAUAAAGCAAAUCUCAGCUCAGUCCUUACCGAUUUUCCUAGUCAAAACCAUAAGAAAACCAAACAGGCCCAGUAAAGGAUGGCUGGCUACACCUUAGCUGUUGCUUAUCUGUGAGACAAUGGAGUAAAUCAGAUAAAUCUAAGGGAAAAGGAGGGGAGGGCUGUGCUCCUUACUGUUGUUCAUUUAGCUUAGGUGAGUGCUGGAUAUUGCUAGAUGCCUUCAAAUUUCAAUUUUUAAAGAUGUUGCUGAAGGGGUGGGAAAGCAUAUAUGAGAAGGAGUGUGAUUGAUGUGAACAUUCUUGCCUAUUUCACUUCACUUGUCCAUCUUUUUCUCACUUCUGAGGUUUUGUUACCUCUAAUAAAAACACACAUAUUGCUGGUGAUUCUGCUUGUGAAAAAAAAAAAAAGAUAUAUUUGGCACAUGAGAAUGGUCAUGUGAAGUCAAAGAAGACACAGAACUCUCCUGAUUAAUGUAUUUGUAUAAUUAUUAAUUCUGUAAACUGUCUCUGGAAUCUAAAAUGUAAUAAGGCAGAUGUCUUUUCUCUUCUAACCUCUUGUGCUGUGAGGACAAAAUCUCAUGAAUUUUUCGUGACUCUCCUGAAUCGAGUCUCCUGAAUAAAAUUAAUUACUUAAAAAAAUUGCUCUCUGGGAGACCUAAUUCUCUUUUAUUAUGAGCUGCUGACAUAUUUCUCAUCUGUUGUUGAGACAAAUGAUUUUUGAAUCUUUACUUCUUUUUCCUCAAAAGCCUGCUGCCUUUCCAGAGAGAUUUUCAAGAAGCAGUGACCCAGAAUCUCUCAUUUCUACCUUUCUAAGUUGUCUUCAAACGUAAGAGCAGACUGCUGGCUAGGAAGAGCGAUGUUUGCACUCGUAAGGGAGGUGGCACUACAGGAGUGAGUCAGGGUGUGGGGUGUACAUGUCUUUGUGCAAAAACUAGGAUUAAAACUAGUCCUUCAAGCUGCCUGCUGUGGUGAGAAGGGAGAGGGGUAGCAUAGCAGCACCUCUGUAUGGAGGUUUGAGAGCAUUGCUUUAUCACUGAAUUUAUUCUGUAUUUAUUUAUUGGCACUGAUUGCCAAUCAUCUUGGCAUCUUCAGGGAGGUCAACCACCUCCUGGGACUGGCAGGUUCAGCAAGGGAGGAGGGCAACAGAACUGAAAAUGGGUCACAGAAGUUCCCGGUGACUUUAGACUUUCCUAGGCGUGUGCACAUUUAAUAAAUGCAGUCAAACCUUGUGGUGAUGUGGCUUACUUACCAUAGAAUCACUAGUGUUGGAAAAGACCUCUAAGGUGAUCUAGUGCAACCACCAACCCAUCACACCAUGCCCACUAACCACGUCCAUCAGUGCCACACCCACACCGUUCCUGAACUCCUCCAGGAUGGUGACUCCACCACCUCCAUUGGCAGCCUGUGACACUGUAUCACCACUCUUUCUGAGAAGAAAGUUUUCCUAAUAUCUAAACUGAAUAGUGAAUACUGGAGCUUAUAAUAAAAAAGAAUCAGGUCUUCCAGAGGGCAAUUUUCAACUAUAAUUGAUUUUAUUCAGUAGAGUUAUCUGUUACUUCUUGAUUCAGACCUCAGCAUACCCUCCAGGGUAUGCAGUAGUCUACAUACUAAUAUAAUCUGGAAUGGAAGUUGUGUUUCAGUUUCUCCUGCAGGGAAUGUGGCUUACAUGUACCAGGGACAGUCUACAGACUGGCCCAACGCAUGGCAAGUUUGACAGAUAGUUGCUUUACUGCUGGGGACUACAGUAGCCUUCAGACACACUAAGAAGCCCUUGUGAUGUGGAGUUAUUAGUCCAUGUGCUUUAGAAGGUCAGAACCUGAAGCACUAGACUCUUUGUUAGCAUGUAGUUAAUUACCAUUCAUUUGAAAAUACUUUUUUUCCCUCAAAUAAGUUAAAAUAAUAGAAUAAUAGAUAAAAAAACAUGUAUUUAUUUAACCAGGUUUAUUUUUUAUUAUAUUUACAUAUUUAACUAGUUCUUAAUUUGAAGCGCUCAAAACAGUUCAGCUUGCUUCAGUCCUAUACAUUUUUUUUUUAUAGUUUUAUGAACUGUGCAAUCUUCAGACCUUUGCAAUAACUUCAUACCUCCACCAAUAUGCUUUGUUUCAGUGUGUCCUGCUACAGGGAGGGUGUGCCAGACAUCUUGUUCAACACAACCAUAAAGAGACCUGAAAGGUUGUGUUCACUGCCUUCUAUCUCUGACAGAUAGUAAGUUGCCUUUAACGUGGCAAAAACUUCAAGUACAUAGGUGUAUGACACUAGCAGACAUCUCAUGAGUGGCACAGGUUUGUGAGCUGCCACUCUAACCCUGAGACAUAUCAUGCAAUUAAGUGGGUCAUAUGAGGCAACAAGGCUGCUGCUAAAAUUCUGUGCUGAGGUCUUCCCAGUUGAUUAAAUUAAAGAUCUGCCUCCUUUGUGAUGUUCAGAAGUACUCGGUUUCAUGCAUUCCCAGGUGGGAUUUGCAUCUGCUCCAUUAGAAAUAAGACAGCUUUGUCUUUUCCUUGCACCAACAUGCAAAGAAGUUUUUUUUUUGAAAAAGGAAAUCUAAUUUAAAACAGUUAACACAGUCUUUACAACUGAGUCACAUUUCUGGUCAUUUCAUGUUUCUCACGUUGUGUAAAACAAUAAAUAACUGACUCAAGAUUGAGGUUUCUGCUCCUGGAGCCAGGCUCCCCAGCAGUAGAUGAGCUAUUUAGUAUCACAGAGUUUAAGACCUUUUUUAAAAG